UACGAGGGGGGCGAGCGUUGUUCGGAAUUAUUGGGCGUAAAGGGUGCGUAGGCGGCCUGACAAGUCUGAUGUGAAAUCCCUGGGCUCAACCCAGGGCCUGCAUCGGAAACUGUCGGGCUUGAGUAUGGGAGAGGUGAGUGGAUUCCGGUGUAGCGGUGAAAUGCGUAGAUAUCGGAAGGAACACCUGUGGCGAAAGCGGCUGCACUGGACCGAUUACUG
RNAcentral lists this ribosomal RNA (219 nucleotides) under uncultured bacterium. Its description in RNAcentral is "partial 16S ribosomal RNA". It matches the Rfam family "Bacterial small subunit ribosomal RNA", at positions 524 to 742 of the family's 1533-position model. The record is from RNAcentral.